GAUGAACGCUGGCGGCGUGCCUAAUACAUGCAAGUCGAGCGAACGGACGAGAAGCUUGCUUUUCUGAUGUUAGCGGCGGACGGGUGAGUAACACGUGGAUAACCUACCUAUAAGACUGGGAUAACUUCGGGAAACCGGAGCUAAUACCGGAUAAUAUUUUGAACCGCAUGGUUCAAAAGUGAAAGACGGUCUUGCUGUCACUUAUAGAUGGAUCCGCGCUGCAUUAGCUAGUUGGUAAGGUAACGGCUUACCAAGGCAACGAUGCAUAGCCGACCUGAGAGGGUGACCGGCCACACUGGAACUGAGACACGGUCCAGACUCCUACGGGAGGCAGCAGUAGGGAAUCUUCCGCAAUGGGCGAAAGCCUGACGGAGCAACGCCGCGUGAGUGAUGAAGGUCCUCGGAUCGUAAAACUCUGUUAUUAGGGAAGAACAUAUGUGUAAGUAACUGUGCACAUCUUGACGGUACCUAAUCAGAAAGCCACGGCUAACUACGUG
RNAcentral lists this ribosomal RNA (497 nucleotides) under uncultured bacterium. RNAcentral's name for it is "partial 16S ribosomal RNA". It matches the Rfam family "Bacterial small subunit ribosomal RNA", at positions 28 to 507 of the family's 1533-position model. The record is from RNAcentral.